GUCAAUGCCUAGCAAGUGUCUCAAAACCAGAAUCCAAAUGCUCUCUACUAGAUCCAACAGGGACGCUGAAUGGAAAUGUAACAAGUCACGAAAACCCAGAACCAUGAACAUAUUAAGAAUCUAAAUGUUCAGUUCCUUCACCAUCCUAGGGAGGAGUAGAUACAGCUUAACAGAUACUGGACUGGAGAAGCCUAUGGUAGCCAGCAGUGUACAAGAAAGCCAUGCCAAGUAUCAGAUAGGGACUGAAGAUUAGAGUGUGCCGCUAAGGUGUACCAGUCUCCAAGAAAUACGACACCAGUCUUCAAGAAAGAAGACACCAUUCCUCAAGAAAAGGCGAUGCCAAAGAUAUGUAAAAAAAAAAAAAAAAAUUAUUUUUGUGUGGGUUUGUAAAGUA
This is a long non-coding RNA of Schistocerca piceifrons (Central American locust), 394 nucleotides long. RefSeq lists it as uncharacterized. The transcript has 2 exons. The record is from RefSeq and is a predicted model, not a curated record. NCBI's taxonomy places the organism in Eukaryota, Metazoa, Arthropoda, Insecta, Orthoptera, Acrididae.